UACCCGGCUGAACUUAAGCAUAUCAAUAAGCGGAGGAAAAGAAACCAACAGGGAUUGCCCCAGUAACGGCGAGUGAAGCGGCAACAGCUCAAAUUUGAAAUCUGGCCCCAGGCCCGAGUUGUAAUUUGCAGAGGAUGCUUUUGGCGCGGUGCCUUCCGAGUGCCCUGGAACGGGACGCCACAGAGGGUGAGAGCCCCAUCUGGUUGGACACCAAGCCUAUGUAAAGCUCCUUCGACGAGUCGAGUAGUUUGGGAAUGCUGCUCUAAAUGGGAGGUAUAUGUCUUCUAAAGCUAAAUACCGGCCAGAGACCGAUAGCGCACAAGUAGAGUGAUCGAAAGAUGAAAAGCACUUUGAAAAGAGGGUUAAAUAGUACGUGAAAUUGUUGAAAGGGAAGCGCUUAUGACCAGACUUGGGCCCGGUGAAUCAUCCAGCGUUCUCGCUGGUGCACUUUGCCGGGCACAGGCCAGCAUCAGUUCGCCGCGGGGGAUAAAGGCUUCGGGAAUGUGGCUCCCUCGGGAGUGUUAUAGCCCGUUGCACAAUACCCUGGGGCGGACUGAGGUUCGCGCAUCUGCUAGGAUGCUGGCGUAAUGGUCAUCAGCGACCCGUCUUGAAACACGGACCAAGGAGUCGUCUUCGUAUGCGAGUGUUCGGGUGUAAAACCCCUACGCGUAAUGAAAGUGAACGCAGGUGAGAGCUUCGGCGCAUCAUCGACCGAUCCUGAUGUUCUCGGAUGGAUUUGAGUAAGAGCAUACGGGGCCGGACCCGAAAGAAGGUGAACUAUGCCUGUAUAGGGUGAAGCCAGAGGAAACUCUGGUGGAGGCUCGCAGCGGUUCUGACGUGCAAAUCGAUCGUCAAAUAUGGGCAUGGGGGCGAAAGACUAAUCGAACCUUCUAGUAGCUGGUUUCCGCCGAAGUUUCCCUCAGGAUAGCAGUGUUGAACUCAGUUUUAUGAGGUAAAGCGAAUGAUUAGGGACCCGGGGGCGCUAUUUAGCCUUCAUCCAUUCUCAAACUUUAAAUAUGUAAGAAGCCCUUGUUGCUUAAUUGAACGUGGGCAUUCGAAUGUAUCAACACUAGUGGGCCAUUUUUGGUAAGCAGA
Molecule: ribosomal RNA, 1095 nt
Filed under: Clavicipitaceae sp. MEXU 26354
Lineage: Eukaryota; Fungi; Ascomycota; Sordariomycetes; Hypocreales; Clavicipitaceae
Description: eukaryotic LSU rRNA
Rfam family: Eukaryotic large subunit ribosomal RNA
Source: RNAcentral